This 103-nucleotide transfer RNA is filed under the name Defluviicoccus sp. Its description in RNAcentral is "tRNA-Pro". It matches the Rfam family "tRNA". Rfam says of the family: Transfer RNA (tRNA) molecules are approximately 80 nucleotides in length. Their secondary structure includes four short double-helical elements and three loops (D, anti-codon, and T loops). The record is from RNAcentral. Lineage: Bacteria; Pseudomonadati; Pseudomonadota; Alphaproteobacteria; Rhodospirillales; Rhodospirillaceae.
GCGGGCGUGGUGGAAUUAGUAGACACGACGGUCUUGGACACCGUUGGGGCGACCCUCCAAGGUCAAACGCCCCGUGCCGGUGCAACUCCGGUCGCCCGCACCA